AUUGAACGCUGGCGGCAGGCCUAACACAUGCAAGUCGAGCGGAUGAAGGGAGCUUGCUCCUGGAUUCAGCGGCGGACGGGUGAGUAAUGCCUAGGAAUCUGCCUGGUAGUGGGGGAUAACGUCCGGAAACGGGCGCUAAUACCGCAUACGUCCUGAGGGAGAAAGUGGGGGAUCUUCGGACCUCACGCUAUCAGAUGAGCCUAGGUCGGAUUAGCUAGUUGGUGGGGUAAAGGCCUACCAAGGUGACGAUCCGUAACUGGUCUGAGAGGAUGAUCAGUCACACUGGAACUGAGACAUGGUCCAGACUCCUACGGGAGGCAGCAGUGGGGAAUAUUGGACAAUGGGCGAAAGCCUGAUCCAGCCAUGCCGCGUGUGUGAAGAAGGUCUUCGGAUUGUAAAGCACUUUAAGUUGGGAGGAAGGGCAGUAAGUUAAUACCUUGCUGUUUUGACGUUACCAACAGAAUAAGCACCGGCUAACUUCGUG
This 484-nucleotide ribosomal RNA is filed under the name uncultured bacterium. RNAcentral describes it as "partial 16S ribosomal RNA". It matches the Rfam family "Bacterial small subunit ribosomal RNA", at positions 30 to 507 of the family's 1533-position model. The record is from RNAcentral.